UGAAAACACUCCUCAUGGCCUUUUGUUGC
Molecule: non-coding RNA, 29 nt
Filed under: Homo sapiens (human)
Lineage: Eukaryota; Metazoa; Chordata; Mammalia; Primates; Hominidae
Source: RNAcentral